AGAGUUUCAGAAUUUGGCAAAGGUCUCAAGGCUCAAGCUGGUUGUCUGUAGCCUUUCAAACGCCCAGCUUUAUCACCACAUAUGAGACUUCGUCACCCCUACAGCCUGGUGUUGGAUCCAAUCACCCCAACAACUGGAAUACAGAAGGGAAUAAGAAGAAGAUUCCUUCCUAAUUGCUAGCUUCUGUUAGCGUAGCUGAUGCCAUGACCCCAGCUGCCAGCUCUCAGUCUUCACCUGAACCAGGUGGCACCCCUUUGAGAAACAGUGCUACCCUUCACCUCCUUCACCUGCCAAUCUGGGCUUCCUCUAUGGAGGUCCCAACACCCAUGGGUCUGUGUCCUUUUCUCAGAGGUCCCAGCACCAGACACAGGACUCCUCUUCUCGGUGGUACAACCAGCAGCUUCCAGGCCCUGCCACAUAUACAGAGCUUGGGGAUCAGCUAUAGAGAGCCAAUCCCCUGGGAACCCAUUAGUCCAAGGGGGCCUCUCCUCCAAGUGCCUACAUUCUGGAAAAGGCUUCACCUCUAUUUUCUACAGUCAUGAUACCUGGGUAACUCAGUGCUCCCUUUGGAUUUUUCUUAGCUCUUCAACACCUAUGUAAAUCUGCAUGAAGCCUCCACUGUUUGAAUACAGUGUGAUUCCCUGCUGAGCCCUAACUGAUAACACUGUGUUUCCAGUGUCCCUCAUCCACUAGACGCAGUGGUAUCAGGAAUGGUGUGGUAUUUUGUUAUAAAUUAAUUUAAUUCCUUAGAUGGACACGCAGAGAGCCUCAAUAAAUAUUUUUAAUCUAUCAAUGCAAGGAAUGUGGUUGUCGGAAGUCAGCCAAAAGUACAAGUUUAAAUCUAAGCCCUGCCAUUCACAACUUGGGUGACCUCAGCUUCUUUUUUGGAAAUGACGUUCAUAUUUUCCAAGCACUUUUUCUGUGCCAGGUGCUUCCAAAUGUAUCUCAUUUAAUCCUCACAACAUACCUCAGAGGAAGACAUUAUUUUUACAAGUAAGGAAAUAGAGGCUCAGAGAGAUGAAGUGGUUGACUCGUGCUGUCUAUCUUGUAAAUGGUGGGCUGUGAUUCCCACACCACUGGAGUUUCUGGAGUCAGGGGCUGCCUGGACUCAGGGGCUGCCUGACUCCAGAAACCAUUUUCUGUGCAUUUCCUGUACCCCCACCUCAAUUGCUUUUCUUUCCUCAUCUGUGGACUGAUUAAAUAAAAUGUAUCAUUUGGAUGAAA
Non-coding RNA from Chlorocebus sabaeus (green monkey), 1224 nucleotides. The record is from RefSeq and is a predicted model, not a curated record. Lineage: Eukaryota; Metazoa; Chordata; Mammalia; Primates; Cercopithecidae.